GCGGAUGUAACCAAGUGGAUCAAGGUAGU
RNAcentral lists this transfer RNA (29 nucleotides) under Abrus precatorius (Indian licorice). Its description in RNAcentral is "partial tRNA-His". The record is from RNAcentral. Lineage: Eukaryota; Viridiplantae; Streptophyta; Magnoliopsida; Fabales; Fabaceae.